GGGAGGAUGGUCUAGUGGUAUGACGUCUGCUUUGCAUGCAGAAGGUCCGGGGUUCAAUUCCCCGUCUUUCCA
Hamiltosporidium tvaerminnensis is the source of this 72-nucleotide non-coding RNA. The record is from the annotation of a GenBank genome assembly. Lineage: Eukaryota; Fungi; Microsporidia; Dubosqiidae.